Long non-coding RNA from Cyprinus carpio carpio, 656 nucleotides. NCBI's taxonomy places the organism in Eukaryota, Metazoa, Chordata, Actinopteri, Cypriniformes, Cyprinidae. The record is from Ensembl.
AAACCUUGCUCUCAGCGAAUCUUGCCAUGAUCAGCCCUUUUCCAGGUACAUUUGUUUCGAAUAUUUUUUUGAAUCAACAUUUACUCAUCAAAUGCUCUAGUCUGAAUCUUAUUUUUAAAUGAAUUUAAUGAUAUGUUUAAUGAGCAAUAUUAAUUGCACACAGAGUAAGUAGAGAUUAUCUUGUUUUUACAGAAGAGAAGAUCAAGGAAAUUAUUUGUUCAGGAUGAGGAAUGAAGACGGCCAUCUUGUGCCCAAACGAAGACAGAAAGCUGUCCACUGAUGAUCUCAUCAGCCAAAUGAGGGGUUUUUGACCAAGUGAUGGUCUUGAAAGGAAUGAAAGAAGAGGAUGUGGUAAAUUGUCUUCAAAGAAAAAGCUUCUCAAAAGGUCUUAAAACAGCUUGAAGAAUGGUCUGGGAACUGUCUGAAAAUGGGAUGUUAGGAAUGAGAGAUCCUCUGGCUGAGAAAAAGCUACACCAGAUCAGUGCUGGAUAUCAACCACAAACUGUUUCCAGACACGAGAGAAGAAGAUCAUGAUGGGGAAAUGAAACCAGUUUAGAUGUGAUGAUAAGGAAUCAUUAUUUUCUGAAACAGUAUCACAUGUCUUAUAUGUAUCACAUGAUCUGUAUCACAGUUGCCUGGAUGGGAUUGUGUGACUU